RNAcentral lists this ribosomal RNA (253 nucleotides) under uncultured bacterium. RNAcentral describes it as "partial 16S ribosomal RNA". It matches the Rfam family "Bacterial small subunit ribosomal RNA", at positions 524 to 776 of the family's 1533-position model. The record is from RNAcentral.
UACGAAGGGUGCAAACGUUAUUCGGAAUCACUGGGCGUAAAGGGUGCGUAGACGGUCUGUUAAGUCUGUUGUUAAAGGCUCUGGCCUAACCGGAGUAUUGCGAUGAAAACUGGCAUGCUGGAGGGUGAGAGAGAGAAGUGGAAUUCCUGGAGUAGCGGUGAAAUGCGUAGAUAUCAGGAGGAACACCAAUGGCGAAGGCAGCUUCUUGGCUCAUUCCUGACGUUGAGGCACGAAAGCGUGGGGAGCAAACAGG